AACGAACGCUGGCGGCAUGCCUAGCACAUGCAAGUCGAACGAGACCUUCGGGUCUAGUGGCGCACGGGUGCGUAACGCGUGGGAACCUGCCCUUAGGUUCGGAAUAACUCCCCGAAAGGGGUGCUAAUACCGGAUAAUGUCUUCGGACCAAAGAUUUAUCGCCUUUGGAUGGGCCCGCGUUGGAUUAGCUAGUUGGUAGGGUAAAAGCCUACCAAGGCGACGAUCCAUAGCUGGUCUGAGAGGAUGAUCAGCCACACUGGGACUGAGACACGGCCCAGACUCCUACGGGAGGCAGCAGUGGGGAAUAUUGGACAAUGGGCGAAAGCCUGAUCCAGCAAUGCCGCGUGAGUGAUGAAGGCCUUAGGGUUGUAAAGCUGUUUUACCCGGGAUGAUAAUGACAGUACCGGGAGAAUAAGCUCCGGCUAACUCCGUG
Molecule: ribosomal RNA, 433 nt
Filed under: uncultured bacterium
Lineage: Bacteria
Description: partial 16S ribosomal RNA
Rfam family: Bacterial small subunit ribosomal RNA
Source: RNAcentral